This 622-nucleotide long non-coding RNA is filed under the name Physcomitrium patens. RNAcentral's name for it is "long non-coding RNA (PPAT_LNC000864)". Lineage: Eukaryota; Viridiplantae; Streptophyta; Bryopsida; Funariales; Funariaceae. The record is from RNAcentral.
GUCUUGUUUAAGAAUGCUUCGGACAUCUGACUGUGGAAGGUAGAAUGGAAAUUGUAACAAUAAAAUCCUAACUCUAAUAGAAUACUAACUGAACUCUAAUUAGACCAUAACAAUGCCAAACAAGCUUUAAUCAAAUUCAAAGAAAUCUCAAAAGAAUUACUAAGAAAUAAUAAGAAAUAUUAAAGAAAUAUUAGAAUGAUCACAAAUAUAUCUCAAAUAUAUCUCAAUUCAAUCUUGAUUUAAUCUUAAUUAAAAUCCUAUUGAACUUCAUUCAAACUUUAGGCCAAAAAUUAACUAAAUCUUAAAUCUUAAUCAAAUCUUAAAUCCUAAAUCAAAUUUUAAUCAAAUAUUAAAUUCUAAAUCAAAUUCUAAAUUCUAAACCAAAUCCUAAUUAAACCAUAAUCAAAUCCUAAUCCUAAAUCAAACCACAACCAAAUCCUAAUCCUAAAUCUUAAACUUCAAACCAAACUCUAAUCAAACCUUAAAUCCUAAACCAAAUCCUAAAUCCUAAAUCAAAUCUUAUCCAAAUCCUAAUCUUGAAUCAAAUCCUAACCAAAUCCUAAUCAAAUCCUAACCUUAAAUCAAAUCCUUACCAAAUCCUAAACCCUAAAUCAAAUUCUAA